RNAcentral lists this ribosomal RNA (497 nucleotides) under uncultured bacterium. RNAcentral's name for it is "partial 16S ribosomal RNA". It matches the Rfam family "Bacterial small subunit ribosomal RNA", at positions 28 to 507 of the family's 1533-position model. The record is from RNAcentral.
GAUGAACGCUGGCGGCGUGCCUAAUACAUGCAAGUCGAGCGAACAGACGAGGAGCUUGCUCCUUCGACGUUAGCGGCGGACGGGUGAGUAACACGUAGGUAACCUACCUAUAAGACUGGGAUAACUUCGGGAAACCGGAGCUAAUACCGGAUAAUAUUUCGAACCGCAUGGUUCGAUAGUGAAAGAUGGCUUUGCUAUCACUUAUAGAUGGACCUGCGCCGUAUUAGCUAGUUGGUAAGGUAACGGCUUACCAAGGCAACGAUACGUAGCCGACCUGAGAGGGUGAUCGGCCACACUGGAACUGAGACACGGUCCAGACUCCUACGGGAGGCAGCAGUAGGAAAUCUUCCGCAAUGGGCGAAAGCCUGACGGAGCAACGCCGCGUGAGUGAUGAAGGUCUUCGGAUCGUAAAACUCUGUUAUUAGGGAAGAACAAACGUGUAAGUAACUGUGCACGUCUUGACGGUACCUAAUCAGAAAGCCACGGCUAACUACGUG